UUGGAGGGCAAGUCUGGUGCCAGCAGCCGCGGUAAUUCCAGCUCCAAUAGCGUAUAUUAAAGUUGUUGCAGUUAAAAAGCUCGUAGUUGAAUUUUGGGCCUGGCCGGGCGGUCCGCCCUCUGGGUGAGCACUGUUCCGACGUCGGGCCUAUCCUUCUGGUGAGUCGGCAUGUCCUUUAUUGGGUGUGUCGGGGAACCAGGAUCAUUACCUUGAAAAAAUUAGAGUGUUCAAAGCAGGCGUAUGCUCGGAUACAUUAGCAUGGAAUAAUGAAAUAGGACGCGUGGUGCUAUUUUGUUGGUUUCUAGAACCGCCGUAAUGAUUAAUAGGGAUAGUUGGGGGCAUUAGUAUUCAAUUGUCAGAGGUGAAAUUCUUGGAUUUAUUGAAGACUAACUUCUGCGAAAGCAUUUGCCAAGGAUGUUUUCAUUAAUCAAGAACGAAAGUUAGGGGAUCGAAGACGAUCAGAUACCGUCGUAGUCUUAACCAUAAACUAUGCCGACUAGGAAUCGGGCGAUGUUAUUCUCAUGACUCGCCCGGCGCCUUAUGGGAAAC
RNAcentral lists this ribosomal RNA (549 nucleotides) under uncultured Ambispora. RNAcentral's name for it is "SSU rRNA". It matches the Rfam family "Eukaryotic small subunit ribosomal RNA", at positions 548 to 1098 of the family's 1831-position model. Lineage: Eukaryota; Fungi; Glomeromycota; Glomeromycetes; Archaeosporales; Ambisporaceae. The record is from RNAcentral.